This 510-nucleotide ribosomal RNA is filed under the name uncultured bacterium. RNAcentral describes it as "bacterial SSU rRNA". It matches the Rfam family "Bacterial small subunit ribosomal RNA", at positions 15 to 518 of the family's 1533-position model. The record is from RNAcentral.
GAUCUGGUCAGGAUGAACGCUAGCGGCAGGCUUAACACAUGCAAGUCGAGGGGCAACGCGAGUAGCAAUACUUGGCGGCGACCGGCGCAAGGGUGCGUAACGCGUGAGCAACAUGCCCGUAUCAGGGGGAUAAUCCAGGGGAAACUUGGUCUAAUACCCCAUAGUAAUUUUUGUAAGGCAUCUUAUAAGAUUUUAAAGCUUUGGUGGAUACGGAUUGGCUCGCGUGACAUUAGCUGGAUGGUAAGGUAACGGCUUACCAUGGCUAUGAUGUCUAGGGGUUCUGAGAGGAAGGUCCCCCACACUGGAACUGAGACACGGUCCAGACUCCUACGGGAGGCAGCAGUGAGGAAUAUUGGACAAUGGAUGGAAAUCUGAUCCAGCCAUGCCGCGUGAAGGAAAGAAGGUCCUAUGGAUUGUAAACUUCUUUUGUAUGGGAGCAAUAAGGCCUACGAGUAGGUUGAUGAGAGUACCAUACGAAUAAGCACCGGCUAACUCCGUGCCAGCCGCUGC